RNAcentral lists this unclassified non-coding RNA (312 nucleotides) under plant metagenome. RNAcentral describes it as "partial contains 5.8S ribosomal RNA, internal transcribed spacer 2, and large subunit ribosomal RNA". The stretch from base 1 to 105 matches the Rfam family "5.8S ribosomal RNA", at positions 50 to 154 of the family's 154-position model. The record is from RNAcentral.
GAAAUGCGAUACGUAGUGUGAAUUGCAGAAUUCAGUGAAUCAUCGAAUCUUUGAACGCACAUUGCGCCCUUUGGUAUUCCAAAGGGCAUGCCUGUUCGAGCGUCAUUUGUACCCUCAAGCUUUGCUUGGUGUUGGCGUCUUUUGUCUUUGGCCUCGCCCAAAGACUCGCCUUAAAACGAUUGGCAGCCGGCCUACUGGUUUCGCAGCGCAGCACAUUUUUGCGCUUGCAAUCAGCACAAGGACGGCAAUCCAUCAAGACUACAUUUUUACGUUUGACCUCGGAUCAGGUAGGGAUACCCGCUGAACUUAAGC